This 915-nucleotide long non-coding RNA is filed under the name Gallus gallus (chicken). Lineage: Eukaryota; Metazoa; Chordata; Aves; Galliformes; Phasianidae. The record is from RNAcentral.
UGAAAUUAAACCAUUAAAAUAGAUAUUCUAAAUCCAAGAAAAGCCCUUUAACAGAACUUCACUAUUAUGAAAGCACAUGAAAAGUUGAUUUCUAUUGCCUGGUAUACAAUAAUUAUUCUCUUAUCCUGUGCUUUGAAAUACAGCACACCACUUAACCAGAUUAUCAGCAAUAUACAGCCCAAAGUGCAGAGACAUUUAUGUAAUUUCUUGGAGUAUCUUACGUGUGUUGGAAGGUAGAGGUCAUACACAGAUCCAGAGUCCACAUCAAUAGCGUGAAAGCCUACUAAAGAGCCAUAGAUCACUUUUAAUCUUUGUCCAUUUUCAACAGUGAGGUCAACUGACAGCGGUUUGUGAUGAAGUGAGGUAAAGGACUUAAAAGCCAUGAAUUUGUGAUAAGGCUUUGGAGCCCAAGCAUAAACCUCCACUGAGCUUUUCAAAGCAAUUACAAGGAAUUUGAUUCUCUCAUAUUUUACAACUUUGUAGUGUACGCAGCCUUCCAGGUCACCCACAGACACCCAGCCUUGUCGCUUCUCAACCUCUGGAUCAUUGCGCAAAAUCUUAUUUCUCAGCCAUGACAGGUAAUAGACUCUCAACUUAUUCUUUUUCCCUGAUAUAGUAAUUAGCACAUUGAGUCCUUCCAGAACAUCCAUUUGCUGGAAUCGUCUCCUUGUAAUCAGUGAAUAAACUCUUCCUUGCCCACUUCUGUCCAGAAGCCACAAUCCGUUCUCUGUUCCCACCAGUAAAUUCACUCCUGUUGAUACAGAAAAAAAAAUACUGCCUAGAUCAGCUAAUGAUUCAGAAGCCAAGUGUUAAUUGUUUUUUAGAAUUGAUUUUUACUUCGUCCUCUUAAUGGUAGCUAAUAUUUUUCCCUUGCUCUGUGAAUGACCUCCUAAGAAAAAUGAAAGGAAAUAAAAC